Long non-coding RNA from Daphnia magna, 327 nucleotides. RefSeq lists it as uncharacterized. Lineage: Eukaryota; Metazoa; Arthropoda; Branchiopoda; Diplostraca; Daphniidae. The record is from RefSeq and is a predicted model, not a curated record. The transcript has 2 exons.
GGGGAAUUUGUCAACAACUUUUAACCAAAAUCUACGACAAAUAUUUCGCAAGCAUUUGAAAGGAAAGACGAAAUUUUAUUAAAAUGCGUUGACUCAAACAUUCAACUAACAAAGAGCAACAACUUUUUGUUGCAUUUCGCAGUAAAUCUCGUGGCGCGAAGAGGAAGCAGCCUCGAGUGAACACUUAGCUGCUCGUUCCGGGACGCCGGACAGUAUGGACGCGAGCCGGAGAUUGCCUUAAAGCCAUUGAUGUUGUUGGUUCCUGGUGCUUUGCUGCUCAAUCCAAGAGAAAAUAAAUAAAUAAUAAUAAUUUAAAAAAAAAAAAAA